UACGGGGGGAGCAAGCGUUUGUUCGGAUUUACUGGGCGUAAAGGGCGCGUAGGCGGCCAGCGCAAGUCAGUUGUGAAAUCUCCGAGCUUAACUCGGAAAGGUCAACUGAUACUGCGCGGCUAGAGUGCAGAAGGGGCAACUGGAAUUCUCGGUGUAGUGGUGGAAUGCGUAGAGAUCCGGAGGAACACCAGCGGCGAAGGCGGCAUCCUGGACUGGUCCUGACACUCAUGAGCGAAAGCGUGGGGAGCGAUCCGG
Molecule: ribosomal RNA, 255 nt
Filed under: uncultured bacterium
Lineage: Bacteria
Description: partial 16S ribosomal RNA
Rfam family: Bacterial small subunit ribosomal RNA
Source: RNAcentral